GGCAGAAAGGAGUGAUUCAGUCUGCCAGGUGCAGGGCCCAGGGAGGCCGGCAGAGAAGAGAAGCCCUGUGUGCUGGACCGGGACUCGGGGCUGGAGAUACAAGCACCCCAUUAAAGGACAGGAGACUUCCCUGAUGCAGGAAUGGGGUUUCUGAAAGUCUCGGGCUGGGACAUCCGCAGUCAAGAAACUGAAGACACAGGGGAAGGAGGAAUGUAAGAGACCCUACAAGGCACGGCACGCUGCACAGCCCAGUUCACUGAGUUCCUUGACGCUUAUGACCAACGAACAUGUUUUACUGGAAAAAUCUUCUCCAGAUCUCCCUCUCCCACUGUUGCAACCAGAUGUUUAUCCGUUCAUUUUGCUUCUUUGCAGAUAAUACACACACUGAGAGACGUAUUUCCUUUGCUUUGUUUCUCCUGGGCCUGGCUUUUUGUUGAGCUGGUGGUUUGGAGGCCCGCCUGACAACUCUGAUGGCCAAUGAGCGAGGCCACAGGGACAGAGGUAGCCUCCCAGGGAUCUGCCCUUGGCCCCAGUGAUGCCUGUGUCACCCCCUCCUGAGGGGCAGGCGGGGGACUCAGACCCGUCUCUCUUGAAGCCUCAUUGCAAGACCUCUGCCCAGCGCUGUCUGCCUCGUUGUUGGUUUUCUUGUCUUUCACUUCCUCUUUUUUCCUCUUUCUAACCCAGUUAUUUCUUUUUCUGAUUAUAUCCAACAUGUGUAAGUUGAAAACACUGGAAAAAAGAUCCCUAUGGAAUUAAGACCAUGCUUACUAACAUUUCACAUAAGCAGAAUUCACUGAAGGAUUUCAGUAAGCCCACCUCAGACUCACGCGGGCAAAGGGGACGGAGGUUGCUCAGGGCCGUGGUGACACAAAGCCCAUCAUGCCUGGAGCCAUGCCUGACAUCUCAGGCCUAUGAGACCAACUGCUGCUUUUCCCCUGUACUUUGGGCAAUCGCUCUGACAAUUCUGUGCUUGGCAAAAUCCAAGAUCAUCGGAUUUGAACGAGGAUUUCUGCCCCCAGUUCAUAUUUCUAAAAGCCCUGAGUGGAGUUGUGAAGUUAUCCCUCUUCUCUGCACUUCUGAUCCCUGUCCUCUUCCUCCCUUCUACGUGUUUUGUGCCUCGUUGUUUCUGGCCCCAGAGGAUUAGGUGUCGUUUCAGCUGCCUUUUCUGCUUACAAGACUUUUUCGAUGCAGUAUGCUCGGCUCCAUAGCUAUCUUUCUCUUCACUUUAAAAUUUCCCAACCAUUAUAUGAAACUAACCUUAUCUAGCAGUCAAGAUGUCAGUCUGAUGGAUAUAAUUCAUUCUAGGUAAGGAACGAUGGCUAGUUGCCUAGUAAAUGGGUUUAAAAUAAGGUAGUCACAUUUUCAAGGAGUUAUUUACUGAGUUAUUUACCGGCCCCAAAUCAUAGCUUUGUCAUUAGUGUAUUUUAAGGUAGGAGGAGUUCUUUUCUUGGUGCUUCUCAAACUAUAUGAUGUUUUGAAUAAUGACUAACAUGCAUCUAGUGCUUUGCAAUGUGAGAAACACCUUUCAUCCACGUAAUCUCAUUCCGUCUUCCAAAAAGGUCUAUGCUAUCAGAAUCUCAGUUUUCCAGAUGAACACACUGAAGAUUAGAGCAAUAAAGAACUUAUCCCUGGUCUGA
Canis lupus familiaris (dog) is the source of this 1637-nucleotide long non-coding RNA. RefSeq lists it as uncharacterized. The record is from RefSeq and is a predicted model, not a curated record. Lineage: Eukaryota; Metazoa; Chordata; Mammalia; Carnivora; Canidae. The transcript has 2 exons.